This 8925-nucleotide unclassified non-coding RNA is filed under the name Pomacea canaliculata. RNAcentral's name for it is "cytoplasmic polyadenylation element-binding protein 2-like, transcript variant X1". Lineage: Eukaryota; Metazoa; Mollusca; Gastropoda; Architaenioglossa; Ampullariidae. The record is from RNAcentral.
AAAGAGCAUUGGGUACGAGAGUGUGUACAGUUAAGCAGUGUUGCUGGAGAGGCAGACGUGGCGGCGGAGCACGGAAUAACUCGGGCAGCAACGUUCCCCCGAUAGCGCAAGAAUCUCAUACAAACUGCGCCAGCUGAUGGGGGAUUUUGGACUUCAGAUAGACAAAUACGUAAGAGCUUUAUCACCCGUGGAUUUUGACCAGCUUGCAGACAUAAACAAUCAGUCAUUUUUCACAGACCCGUUGCCUCUGAGUGAUAAAAUGCAAGAUGACACGCUGCUCGAAAAAUCUUCUGCAAAACAAACUACGUUAUCGCCCAACCCGCUGCAAACUAACGGUACUGAACAGCUUGAAGACGAAAGUAGUAAAACUAUGAAAAAUGGACUAUCAGUGAACUCAACAGAAGAAAAGAAAAGUGAUAUUUUGAAUUCAUCGCCUCUCCAUCUGGGUCUAUCGACAGCUGACCAUACUGUACCAAAUGUAAACGUUACACCUGUUUCCCUUUCAUCCUCAGCUGGCCUGGAUCUUAACCAGUGGUCAUCGGCCCCAGCAGACGACACGUUUUUCCAAGGCUUUCAGUCAAUCAAUGGAACUGUUACCUUCCAGCAGUUUCCGUCAGCCCCAAACUCCGUACUAGGCCAAAGCACCCCUGGAUUCCACUCUGUUAGUCAUGUUGGCGUAAGUGGACCUCAUCAGCAGCCUUCUUCAGCAAGACGCGCAAUAACGGCUCACCAUAAUUUUCCUCAGCGACAGGCCAACAUCAUGUUAAAUAAUCAUCCCAAAUCUUACCAGAAUUGGAGUAGCAACGCGCACCAGCCGCCAGUUACCUGGCCAGGCCAGCAGGGACAGGCGACACUAUGCCCUUGGGCUAGCAUGCCGCCUCAGCACCAGCGCAGGUCUGUGCCAAAUGUGAGUACGCUGACACCUUUGAGCAUGAAGAAACAGAGCAUUCAACACCAAAUACAGCAGCACCAGCACCAGCAGCAGACCCUGUUGGCACCCCCAAAAUUUCGCAGGAGCACCUCUUUCCCAGGUCAGAUUCAUCAAGCUACAGCAGGGAUCAAGCAGCUGGAUUUAAACACCUCAGAUGAUGUGGGUAUUCACAGAGAAGGGCUGGUUACAUAUCAGGAUCGCACUGGACAAUUUGACACAAUGAAGUUUCCAGCUCUUGAGAACCAGUUGUUAGAUAUUAUGAGGACAGCUUCAAUGGAACAUCAUUCUCAUGAAGGAUUUAAAAGUAAAAUUCCAUAUUUCAGUUACUUAAUAGAAGAAAAUCACUUGCUUGAAGAUGGCUCUUUGGAUCAAACUGUACCUAGUCUAGGCACUCCACCUCACUCCUCACCAAAUUCUGGCAUGGAACGUAUUGAGCGCUACUCCAGAAAAGUUUUUGUUGGUGGUCUGCCACCGGACAUUGAUGAAGAAGAGAUCACAGCAGCCUUUAGAAGAUUUGGACCCUUGGUUGUUGACUGGCCCCACAAAGCAGAGUCUAAGUCAUAUUUUCCUCCAAAAGGUUAUUGCUUCCUCAUUUUCCAAGAUGAACUGUCAGUGCAGAAUCUAAUUGAUAUGUGUCUUGUUGAUGAAGAAAAACUUUACUGGUGUGUCUCAAGCCCUACUAUGAAAGACAAACCGGUUCAAAUCCGACCAUGGACAUUGAGUGAUUCAGAUUUUGUAAUGGAUGGAUCACAACCUCUUGAUCCCCGCAAAACAAUAUUUGUGGGUGGUGUUCCUCGUCCACUCAGAGCUGUUGAACUAGCGAUGAUCAUGGACCGGCUGUAUGGUGGAGUAUGCUAUGCAGGCAUUGACACUGAUCCAGAGCUCAAGUAUCCAAAAGGAGCAGGACGUGUUGCAUUUUCUAACCAGCAGAGUUACAUUGCUGCUAUUAGUGCUCGUUUUGUGCAGCUGCAGCAUGGAGAUAUUGACAAAAGGGUGGAGGUUAAACCAUAUGUGCUGGAUGAUCAGAUGUGUGACGAGUGUCAUGGGUCAAGGUGUGCAGGCAAGUUUGCUCCAUUCUUCUGUGCCAAUGUAACCUGUCUGCAGUACUAUUGUGAGUACUGCUGGGCUCAGAUCCAUUCUCGUCCUGGACGUGAGUUUCAUAAGCCCUUAGUUAAAGAAGGAGCUGAUCGACCUAGGGCUGUUCCCUUCCGUUGGUGUUAAAUGGCAAGCAAGUGCUGGAGCACUGAGAGUUUAUUGGUUGCAUAUCAUUGUCUUCAUUCAGGCAGAGGGAAUCCAUAGAUCCCUUUUAAUAAUGUUUCAGUGUCUUUGGUGUAAGGUUUUGUGUUCAUUGUGUAAUGGGAGUGAUGCUGAAAUUAUUAGUAAUGAAAUUCCAUCUGGUUUGUCAGGGAGUGCAAUGAUUUCAAGGUUGUGCAUUAGUCUUAAUUUAUUUCUGCUCAAUUCUAGAACAUCUGUAUUUGGUGACAUGGUGUUCAAGGUUUUAUAUUAGAACACAGUUGCAUAUAUACAGAUUUUGGAUGGAAUUCUCACUUGGAAAAGAAGCUGUAUAAACUGGAAAUAUUUAUUUUUGUAACCAAGAUAAUUUAUUUCAGUUGUAAUGAGUUGUGCAUAAAAUUGUCAGUAAUUACCUGUAUGUGUGUUUGCAGUUAAGUGUUAAAUUAUUUUCAGUCAGACAGGUCUAUUAACUCUUGGUGUACCAGUCAUUUGAGCAGACUUCACACCUUGUGUUUGAAGUAGCCUUUUCAUCUGGAGUUCCUUUAUCUUUCUUUGAAUUCUGUUAAAAAACAAAAGUGACAUUAAUCAGGAAGGCAACUAUUUUCUUGGCCAACUUGCAGCUGUUUUGCGAGUUGCUAAAUUUAGCACAUUCUGAAGCAUUGCUACAUGUUGAACUUUUUUUUUUGUAUUGGUCUGUAAUUUUUUUUGUUUCAAACAAGGAGUUGUAGAAGGUAUUUUUAUGUGUUGCUACAACAAUACACCUGUUUUUUUAUUGUUACAUAUUCUUCCUGUUUCAACUUUGCAUGGUGUUUGGAUAAAAUAAUUCAUAUUUUUUAAAAUGUGACUUUUUGAAGUUAGAUGUUUGUGUGUUUCAGGUUUUUUCUCCCAGGCUUAGUGUUGUUGUUGGUUUUUAAUCUCUGAUGUUAAAAUGUUGUCAAUUUUGGAGUAACUAGCACUUUUAUAAAUGCUUCCAUUUUUGUAAAAGUUGAUAGGAAAGGAUGUUCAGAUUGAAUGUGGUGUGCGCCAUUGAAGGUGCUUUAGUAAGUUGCAUGGUCCUUAAUAAUAUGUUUGGUUCCUGGUAUGUAACAGUGUGUCAAAAAAUGAUUACAUUUUAAUGUAAUUUCAUUUGUUGCCCACGCAGACUGCUUUCUCAUAUCCGAUCUGUGAUCAGGUAAGGCAUCUGAGGGCCAUCUUUCUUUUUAGCUGUCCCUUUUCAACAAACUUUUUAAAUACCCUUAAUGUGAGAGAAGGACCUGCAGCCUUUACUACAAGACUUCUUUACUGCAGACUAUAUAACAGAAAACACACUGACUGAUAUGUGAUAGAUGAAGAUUGUUGUUACAGAGUCAAAUCAGGUGGAGUCAGCAAUAAGUUAUGAAAUAUGUAGAUGUCGCAUAGGUAUAUAUUGCAGUUUCUUUGGUAAAAUAGGUAAAUGUUUGAAAAUGAGAACCUUGGUUAGAGUUGUCCGCAUCACAUCUGAAGCCCUUUAGUUUAUUUUGAACAUAUUUUUGAAUGACAAGGUGCAGUAAUUGGUCAUUGCAUUUUGCAGAGGAAUAUGCAUUUCCCAUUAAAGUAUCUCCUUCACUUUUGCUCACACACUGUCACUUUAACUUACAUGGAUUACUUUUAGAUAUCAGUACCUGUUGAUACAAUUUUUUUAAUGUGCAUGUAUCAGUUUUUCUGUUCUUUGAACAUAUUCCUUGCUUCCAGAAUAUUUUUUUAGGUAAAUAAAGACUCAGAUUUUUCCUGUCUUCAAAUUUGAUUUGGGGAGAUCAUUGUAGCACAUCAUGUAGGCAGGCAGUUGGUGAGUAUCCUCAAACUGCACUGGCAUCCUUUUUAAUAAAAGAACAGUUCCCUUACCCACCUGUCUCCCUUGUAUUUGAAGAUGUGUUUCUUGAUGAUUAGGUUGUGGAUGCAAAGAGGAAAGAUUACAAUGUGGUUUUGUAUUGUAAAAAAAAAGUUCAUAGGGCGUUAUAUGCUUUCUUAUAAAAUGCUUUAGUUUCUUGCAAUUAAAAGUAAAACUUAAUUGACUUGUGAAUCGAAAUUUAACAACUUUCAUGCAGCUUUUUAUCAUUCCAUUUGAAUUUUAUACUUGAACUCGUAGCUUGUUGAAAUAUUACCAAAUGGUACACACAAAGCUUAUUUUGGUGCACCCAGAAUGAGUUCAUAUACUUUUGCCACUUCUUGUAUGAUGCAGUAGGAUGUAAACCAUUUUUUAGCACAAAUUUGAAUGCUGUAAUUUUAUAAACUAUCACACUUCCUAGCCUCUCUCUUUGAAAGAAAAGAGUACUGUAUUUAUACUUUUUCACAUUUGCACCAUUCCAUAGAGUUCUAUUUUUCCUACGUCAUGUAUGUAAUAGUUUUCUGUGAACAUUUUAAUACACAUUAGAGUAGUUUUUGAAACAGAAUGAUAUGAUCUUGGAGUUUCUUUUUGUACAACACUCAACUUUUUGACAAAAAAAGACUGCCUAUCCACUGCAGUUUUUAAUGUGUGAAAGCAAACAGCGCUGGUCAGUUGAAGGACCAGCGACAUAAUUUUGAGACAUGCACCAUUUGCUACUUUUAUACAGACCAUAUGUAUUCUGUCGAAGUAAUUUUGUUGGUCAUAGUAUUGUAAUGAACUUUUUCUUGCUUGCACUGAUUUAAGGCUGUGUGAUUAGUGUUAGAUGCUAGGUAGCCUUGGACUUCACUUGUGUCUUAUUGAAUUACUGGGGUUUUUUUUUUUUCAACGUUUGCCAAAAUUUGUUGAUGUACCUUCCAUCUAUUAUUUUCUGCAGUAUGCAGAUUACAUCUGAAAUGGAAAGUUCCAACUGGGUGGGGGUGUGGUUGUGGGCUGUAUUUGCAGUACUAGAUCAACAUCUGUUCUGAUUUUAGAAGUUUAGAUUUUAAAACUGUAUGAAAAAACUGAAUGGACAGGCAUAGUUAGGAAAGUAGUUAUGCAGUAUAUCAGACAUGUUGAGAAUAAAUUGCUUCAGUAGAAGGCAUCAGUAUUCUUAGGGAUCAGGGUAAAUGUGGAAUCCAUGUCAGAGCACUCACAAAUAGAUCCUAAGGAAGAAACUUGGGGUGAUUUGGAGCGUAAUGGUACAUAUAGGAGACUGUUGGAACAUGAGUCAUCUUCAUGUCUGUUUUCCUUAGCAUCAGCAGGGCAAGAUUAGGUCAGAUGUCAGCAUAAAGUCAUGAUCAUGAUCGAGGCUCAUCAUGCCUUUAAAAUAGAUAAUACCUACAUGCUAUUUGUCACUUCAGCGUUAUAUUUAAAAAAUAACCAGUGCCUUGAAAGCUGUACAAGACAUUCGCACAGUUGAAUGUUAAUUUUGUGGAUUGUGAGGCUAAUGUUUCAGUGAAGAUAGUACCACAAAAGUAGCUGUUCUUCUAAGAAUCCUAUUUUCCUUUAAAGUGGAUACCCCAUAUCAGGAAAGAGGGAAUCAAAAUUUAUCACAAAUAUUAACAGUUCCUUUAAUGUGAAUGGUGAUGUUAAUCACCUGUCAGAUAAUCUCUGGCAUAAAAUGCACCUGUCAGCAACAUAAUAAUAAUACAGCGAAUAUAUAACACCAUAUCCCAGUCCUAUGGGCAGGCUUAUGGUGCUUUACAGAGAAACAUACGGACAGACGCAAUAAUCAUAGAAUACUAUUUGAGAUGAAAGAUAUGUAGCAGAAGCUACUGCCGGCUUGCACAAUUCAUUUGAAAAAAAAAACUGUUAUCCAGGCUGCAAAUGUUUCUUUCCACAACGUCAGUUGUACUUUUUUGUACUUUCGCAUUUUGUGAGAAUGGCUUGGCUUUAGAAAUCUCAUGCACUUACCCACCCACACAUAUAUUCACAAAUUGGCAAAUACAGGACAGACCAGUCAAAUCGGAUAAUGAACACCUGCUAUAUAGAUCAUGUUUUAAAAAGAAAAUUGGUGUGGUUCUUGCAGGCCUUACGAGCUGAAUAGAUUGUCAAGAACUGAAAGAUAUGACAGCACCAUAUGCACUUGCUUCUCUUUCAUAACUGUUCUUCACUUUAAUUAAUACUUUUAGAAACGUAUGGUGUUUGUUUUUUGUUAUACCAUUUGGAUGAUUUAUAUUUGUUUCAAUACAAGAAAAUGUGGCAGAUAUGUACUCACUUGUAAAGGGUUUUCUCUAUGACCACCAAAGUAUGUUAUACUUUAUAGCUAUUACAUUAAUUUUUUAAAACUAAUUUUAUUAAUUAUUUUAAAAAAUUUCUCUCCUUUAUUUAGUCUUCUUGCUGUUGAUUACUGAUUGUAUGAGGUACAUUACUAGUCGGAAAGCAUGUAUUUUUUAUAGUAUAAGAAUACUCGAAAAUGCCAGAAAUCGUCUUGUCUAGUCACUUUAAUAAAGAAAACUUUUUUAAAAAUAAUGUACCACUGUUGCACUGCUAAAUUAGUUUUUCCUGGCAACAUGCUUUCUUUUUAACAUUUUUCAGUCUGUGUAUAUUAAUAAAGAAUAAAAGGAUUUUUAAAGUAAUGUUUUCCUCAUUGUUUUCAUAGCCUCAUUUACAGAUUUUAUACAGACCUGCUUGAUGCUUUUUAUUAAUAGGUAGAAACAUAGAUGGCAGAUCUAUUCCAUAAAAUUUCACUAUAAGGCACAGUCAAUUGCCUCUGUAGUCUGCUUUGGCCAGUAUUAGGUGUUGCUUAGCUUGGAAAAAGGUUUAUUCUUCCACACUUAGCUGUCAUAGCUGCAUUAAAAAAGUCUGCUAAUUGAUAUUUGGUAUGCAUGAAAAAUUAAAAAAAUAUUCAAACCCACUGUUUAUCUACAUUACAGGAAAACAAUUUAAAAGAAAACUUAUCAGCUCAGAAAAUAUUGGCUAUUGAUUUUCGUGAUGAACUGGUGUCAGAAGUUUCCUUAAAUAUCUGCAUACUAUUUUGAUGAGCAUUUUAUUUUUUAAGUCUGGUUCAAAUGCUGUUUAUGAAACCUUUGUUAUUCUUCUUCAGUCUGGAUUACAAAGAUUGUGAAACAGCUUUUUCUUUUUCAUAUGUGGUAUUGAGUUGGCAAAAGCCUGUAGCAAGCAUUUUCACCUAAACACAUACAGGUUUUAACCAUUUGAACAUGGGAUAAACCUGAAACAAAACCCUUAUUUCAUUGUUGUAGAUUUUUUAAUGCUUUUGAUGAGAAUUGGUAUUUAAUCUCGGUUCGAACUGACGUAGGAGACUUGCAAGCUGGAAGCAUGUAAAGUCAUGUGCUGUUUCUUUCACUGCGGGUAAAGUGAGUACAGACAGAUUUGGCCAGUUGUUUGUUGUUAUAUUUAGUAUUUUGGUCAUUGUUUGUUCAAGUUGUUUCUCAGAUGUAUUGUUUUAGCACUUUUUUUAAAAAUGAAAACCGGACAAGUGGGCUGCUGCCAAAAUCUUGUGAAGUUUGUGCUGUACACAUACAUCAUGAUGAUUGCCAUUUGUUAUUUGUAGCAUUAUUUAUCUACAUAUGUAUAUUUUUUGUUUAGACUGUAUAGUUUGGCUGAUGUCCACUAUUUAUUAUCAUGUUUUAUUUUUCUUUAUGUCUAAUUUAUUCCUGAGAAUACAGUUACAUAUUCAACACAUCACUUGCCAUUUUGCUCCUGCAGGGGUGUAGAAGAUUACAUCUUUGAACUGUCUGCAGUGUUUCCAUGUGUAAACUUGGUGAUGGGAUGGAACUCUUCAAGUGCAAUAUUUCACAUUCAAUUUUAUUUCUUAGCCUUGUUUAUUUUAAGCUAUAUGUUAUUGUUAUGUCUAAGAGGAAUGCAGCUGUUAAUACUUAGGCCAUUGUGGCACACCUACAGCACUAUUUUUAUUGGGAAAAAAAUGUGUUGGAGAACUGUGUAUAGAAAUGUGGAUAACCAAUACUCUCUGUACUAACAUGAUUCUUACACAGUACCAGUAGAGUAUAGCAACUGCUGUUAAAUUCAGUUUGAAAAAUAGUUUAUCUAGUUUUGUAAUCCGGUAUUAUUGUGGUUGCAUGUCUCAGUUCCUUUUUUGUUGGUGCCCACUCCUCCAGUGCUGAAGGCAGAUCAAGGACAGUUCUUUGCUCUUAGUGGUACACAUUUGUCAUAAGUAUUUUUUUAGUUCUGUCUUUCAGUAUUAGUACCGUUUUAAUGUGUACAGUAAUUGUGUAUUUUCUGACAUUGAUUUAAGGGGUUGGGGUUGAAUUUUGGGUUUGUGUUUGUGCUUUGUUCUGUGUCACAUACAAUUUGUUUUUGGUUGAAUCCUGUGAAAGGAUUAAAUAUUAAUUAGCAUAUUUUUGGAUCUUUGAUUCCUCCCUUCCCCCAAAUGGUAUUGCCUUUUGUUACACAAGAAUAAUUGCUGGAAUAUUUUCCACGGAUUUUGCGUCUGCAAGAGAUAUGCCUUUAGAUUAACAUUGGUUGUCAAGUUUAAACUUACAACCUGUUACUCAGCUGAUAAGUGCAUGUGAGUUCCUGAUUGUCGACCAAUUUUCAUACAGUUGUGUUUUGUAUAUGGGAAGUUCAUUAGCUAUUUUGUUGAAUGCAGUUAAGAAUUAUCUUAAAGUUUCUAUGUUUUUAAUAAAAGAACCUGUUCUUUUAUAACGUCUUUGGUGUCCUUGGUGGCUUUUUUAUUUGACAUUUUGAUGACUUUUUCCCCUAUUUUGACAUCAGAUUCAGUGCAAAAGAUACAGGCUGUUUACACUGGUUUGUGAUUGUGGAUGGUAGGCUGGGGUUCGUUUCAUUUGUUGCUGCGAUGUUAUUUAUACUUUUAAACUAAUUUUGUAAUAACUUUUUAAUCUAUUACAGUUUGUGUAUGGAUUUUCUUCAGGCAAAUAAAAGUCUUCGGUAUUUGACA